This is a long non-coding RNA of Tupaia belangeri chinensis (Chinese tree shrew), 615 nucleotides long. RefSeq lists it as uncharacterized. The transcript has 3 exons. Lineage: Eukaryota; Metazoa; Chordata; Mammalia; Scandentia; Tupaiidae. The record is from RefSeq and is a predicted model, not a curated record.
AAGGAAAGAUGUAGCUGCACUUUGCAGAACAUUUAUAUUGUCUUCAGCUCCCCAGGGCUCCAGUGCCUUUCCUGGCAACUUCCCAUUCAACUCCCUUUGAAGAUGGCCUUCUUACUCAGUCUUAAUUUUCUAGGUGGAAAGACUGCAGUUUGGAAGCUCCUCCAAGGCCACUUCAUUAUCCAUGACCACAAGCUCAGCUUCCAGUCAGCCGAACAUCUGGAAGUUCAGACGUCCCAGAGAAGGACUAGGAGUCACCUCCACCACUUGCACUGUGGUUUGCCUCCAGAGAGCAGUUUAACUUCUGAAGUCUUACACCUACUGUGGAUCAUGACAUGAAGAAGAACCACUUCCUGGGGGAGGACAAACAAGAAGGCAAAACAUCAGCAUGGGACCGAGUAAGCCCUGGCAUUCAUCCACCCAGUUGGAGGAGGUGGCUUUGUCUUAGCAUCCAGCCCAGGUUUGCAUCCAGCAGGAGAGACUCACUGGCUGUCUGAAAGGAGAUAAUGUCUGGCUUUCCAUCGGCUGGGCUUCCAUGUGACAUUACAGGCCCAGAGUUUAUGCUUAUAUGAUCCUGGAAGAAUUCUAGCUAGUGAGGCCUCAGACCCAUCCUAGGAC